Molecule: transfer RNA, 73 nt
Filed under: Bos taurus (domestic cattle)
Lineage: Eukaryota; Metazoa; Chordata; Mammalia; Artiodactyla; Bovidae
Also listed under: 2 other names
Rfam family: tRNA
About the family: Transfer RNA (tRNA) molecules are approximately 80 nucleotides in length. Their secondary structure includes four short double-helical elements and three loops (D, anti-codon, and T loops).
Source: Rfam by way of RNAcentral
UCCCUGGUGGUCCAGUGUCAAAGACUCUGCACUCCCAAUGCAGAGGGCCUGGGUUUGAUCCCUGGUCAGGCAA